GAUGAACGCUGGCGGCGUGCCUAAUACAUGCAAGUCGAGCGAACGGACGAGAAGCUUGCUUCUCUGAUGUUAGCGGCGGACGGGUGAGUAACACGUGGAUAACCUACCUAUAAGACUGGGAUAACUUCGGGAAACCGGAGCUAAUACCGGAUAAUAUUUUGAACCGCAUGGUUCAAAAGUGAAAGACGGUCUUGCUGUCACUUAUAGAUGGAUCCGCGCUGCAUUAGCUAGUUGGUAAGGUAACGGCUUACCAAGGCAACGAUGCAUAGCCGACCUGAGAGGGUGAUCGGCCACACUGGAACUGAGACACGGUCCAGACUCCUACGGGAGGCAGCAGUAGGGAAUCUUCCGCAAUGGGCGAAAGCCUGACGGAGCAACGCCGCGUGAGUGAUGAAGGUCUUCGGAUCGUAAAACUCUGUUAUUAGGGAAGAACAUAUGUGUAAGUAACUGUGCACAUCUUGACGGUACCUAAUCAGAAAGCCACGGCUAACUACGUGCCAGCAGCCGCGGUAAUACGUAGGUGGCAAGCGUUAUCCGGAAUUAUUGGGCGUAAAGCGCGCGUAGGCGGUUUUUUAAGUCUGAUGUGAAAGCCCGCGGCUCAACCGUGGAGGGUCAUUGGAAACUGGAAAACUUGAGUGCAGAAGAGGAAAGUGGAAUUCCAUGUGUAGCGGUGAAAUGCGCAGAGAUAUGGAGGAACACCAGUGGCGAAGGCGACUUUCUGGUCUGUAACUGACGCUGAUGUGCGAAAGCGUGGGGAUCAAACAGGAUUAGAUACCCUGGUAGUCCACGCCGUAAACGAUGAGUGCUAAGUGUUAGGGGGUUUCCGCCCCUUAGUGCUGCAGCUAACGCAUUAAGCACUCCGCCUGGGGAGUACGACCGCAAGGUUGAAACUCAAAGGAAUUGACGGGGACCCGCACAAGCGGUGGAGCAUGUGGUUUAAUUCGAAGCAACGCGAAGAACCUUACCAAAUCUUGACAUCCUUUGACAACUCUAGAGAUAGAGCUUUCCCCUUCGGGGGACAAAGUGACAGGUGGUGCAUGGUUGUCGUCAGCUCGUGUCGUGAGAUGUUGGGUUAAGUCCCGCAACGAGCGCAACCCUUAAGCUUAGUUGCCAUCAUUAAGUUGGGCACUCUAAGUUGACUGCCGGUGACAAACCGGAGGAAGGUGGGGAUGACGUCAAAUCAUCAUGCCCCUUAUGAUUUGGGCUACACACGUGCUACAAUGGACAAUACAAAGGGCAGCGAAACCGCGAGGUCAAGCAAAUCCCAUAAAGUUGUUCUCAGUUCGGAUUGUAGUCUGCAACUCGACUACAUGAAGCUGGAAUCGCUAGUAAUCGUAGAUCAGCAUGCUACGGUGAAUACGUUCCCGGGUCU
RNAcentral lists this ribosomal RNA (1372 nucleotides) under uncultured bacterium. RNAcentral's name for it is "bacterial SSU rRNA". It matches the Rfam family "Bacterial small subunit ribosomal RNA", at positions 28 to 1381 of the family's 1533-position model. The record is from RNAcentral.